GACGAACGCUGGCGGCGUGCUUAACACAUGCAAGUCGAACGGAAAGGCCCUGCUUUUGUGGGGUGCUCGAGUGGCGAACGGGUGAGUAACACGUGAGUAACCUGCCCUUGACUUUGGGAUAACUUCAGGAAACUGGGGCUAAUACCGGAUAGGAGCUCCUGCUGCAUGGUGGGGGUUGGAAAGUUUCGGCGGUUGGGGAUGGACUCGCGGCUUAUCAGCUUGUUGGUGGGGUAGUGGCUUACCAAGGCUUUGACGGGUAGCCGGCCUGAGAGGGUGACCGGCCACAUUGGGACUGAGAUACGGCCCAGACCCCUACGGGAGGCAGCAGUGGGGAAUAUUGCACAAUGGGCGGAAGCCUGAUGCAGCAACGCCGCGUGCGGGAUGACGGCCUUCGGGUUGUAAACCGCUUUCGCCUGUGACGAAGCGUGAGCGACGGUAAUGGGUAAAGAAGCACCGGCUAACUACGUG
Molecule: ribosomal RNA, 468 nt
Filed under: uncultured bacterium
Lineage: Bacteria
Description: partial 16S ribosomal RNA
Rfam family: Bacterial small subunit ribosomal RNA
Source: RNAcentral